UACGUAGGUGGCAAGCGUUAUCCGGAAUUAUUGGGCGUAAAGCGAGCGCAGGCGGUUCCUUAAGUCUGAUGUGAAAGCCCACGGCUCAACCGUGGAAGGUCAUUGGAAACUGGGGAACUUGAGUGCAGAAGAGGAGAGUGGAAUUCCAUGUGUAGCGGUGAAAUGCGUAGAUAUAUGGAGGAACACCAGUGGCGAAGGCGACUCUAUGGUCUGUAACUGACGCUGAGGCUCGAAAGCGUGGGGAGCAAACAGGAUUAGA
This 259-nucleotide ribosomal RNA is filed under the name uncultured prokaryote. RNAcentral's name for it is "partial 16S ribosomal RNA". It matches the Rfam family "Bacterial small subunit ribosomal RNA", at positions 524 to 782 of the family's 1533-position model. The record is from RNAcentral.